RNAcentral lists this ribosomal RNA (457 nucleotides) under uncultured bacterium. Its description in RNAcentral is "bacterial SSU rRNA". It matches the Rfam family "Bacterial small subunit ribosomal RNA", at positions 917 to 1382 of the family's 1533-position model. The record is from RNAcentral.
GGGCCCGCACAAGCAGUGGAGUAUGUGGUUUAAUUCGAAGCAACGCGAAGAACCUUACCAGGUCUUGACAUCGAGUGACGUACUCAGAGAUGAGUAUUCCCUUCGGGGCACAAAGACAGGUGGUGCAUGGUUGUCGUCAGCUCGUGUCGUGAGAUGUUGGGUUAAGUCCCGCAACGAGCGCAACCCUUAUCAUUAGUUGCUACGCAAGAGCACUCUAAUGAGACUGCCGUUGACAAAACGGAGGAAGGUGGGGAUGACGUCAAAUCAUCAUGCCCCUUAUGACCUGGGCUACACACGUACUACAAUGGCAUUCAACAGAGGGAAGCAAUACAGCGAUGUGGAGCAAAUCCUCAAAAAAUGUCCCAGUUCAGAUUGCAGGCUGCAACUCGCCUGCAUGAAGUCGGAAUUGCUAGUAAUCGCAGAUCAGCAUGCUGCGGUGAAUACGUUCCCGGGCCUU